UUUAUAUGUGUCUUUCAAUCUAUUUUCUUAGAUAGAUACAAUAUAAAAUUAUAACAUAACAAUGAAAUUUAAAUUAUACAUUCGAUCAAACGACUUUUAUUAGAUUAAGCAUGGUUUGCGCAUGCGCACACAUGAAAACCCGAGAGAAAGUUCUGCCUGGAAGAGACCGCACGCAGCAGAAGUCGGAGGAGGCUGGUUAUCUGCUGAACAGCGCGAAGCGAACAGGACACGUUUGUCAGGAAAGCUGCUGCUUGGUAGGCCUAACGUAGUUCCUGGUGCCAGUUUUGGUUGUCUGUCAAGUCUUCGCUGACACUGGAUAUGCCAGGUGAUGGACUGGAGCAAACAAUGGCCGUCUUAAUCAGUGAGACAGACACCAGGGUUCUCAUUGAGGGCACAGAGGUCAGAAACGUGCCCUCAACCGCAGCUGCUGUAGCAAUGCUAUUUGGACUGACAUAUGUGCUAAACCUCGAGUAUCCAAAAGAACUGAAAUUCACUUUUGAGUUUUUUCAGAAAGUUUUAAUGGGGCUUGACACAAGAAAAAUGACCCCCAAGAUAUGUCGCCUCUGCACUCUGCUGCAUAGUCAAUGACUGACUGACAGCCUCCAUUCAGUGCUUUGAUGAACACACACACAGGAUGGCAGAAAUGCUUUCACCCCAGUCUCCACUACAUCGUAUUAGUAGUUCAGUAGUUGUUUGUUGUUUACUGGAUGUGGCAAUAUCUAUGUUUUGUAUUUGAUUUACAUUUAUUUCUUCUGCCAAAAAUGUUAAUUCCUGAGAGAAGCAGACCAAUUGUUUUUAGGUAUUUGUUCUUAUUUCUUAUUCUUGUUCUUCUUCUUCUUAUUUGUUCUUAUGAUAUAUUCACAUUUUAAUACUGCUAUAUAUGAAAUUCAACUUGAAA
Molecule: long non-coding RNA, 898 nt
Organism: Cyprinus carpio (common carp)
Lineage: Eukaryota; Metazoa; Chordata; Actinopteri; Cypriniformes; Cyprinidae
Exons: 3
Source: RefSeq, a predicted model, not a curated record